CCCGGUGAAGUUUUAACGGCCGCAGUUAAUAGCUGUGCUAAGGUAGCGUAGUAAGUUGUCCUUUAAAUGGGGAAAGGAAUGAAUGGUUUGACGUGGGAAAGUCUGUCUCUGGUGAAAGGCUAAAAAUUUUCUUCCCAGUGAAAAGCCUGGGAUGAAAUUAAAAGACGAGAAGACCCUAUCGAGCUUGAAUUAGUUUGGAAGUGUUUCUUAAUGAAAGUUUGGUUGGGGCAACCUGGGAGCAGGGCUAGACUCCUUAGGGAUUGUGAAGAUCCAAAAUUUUUGAAAAGAGAAAAAGCUACCGUAGGGAUAACAGCGUUAUCUUUUCUGAGAGAACACAUUGAAGAAGAG
RNAcentral lists this ribosomal RNA (348 nucleotides) under Galeommatoidea sp. MN7633. RNAcentral's name for it is "partial 16S ribosomal RNA". It matches the Rfam family "Bacterial large subunit ribosomal RNA", at positions 1862 to 2515 of the family's 2925-position model. The record is from RNAcentral. Lineage: Eukaryota; Metazoa; Mollusca; Bivalvia; Galeommatida.